UGAGGAAUAUUGGUCAAUGGGCGCAAGCCUGAACCAGCCAUCCCGCGUGAAGGAAGAAGGCGCUAUGCGUUGUAAACUUCUUUUCCAGGGGGAGAAUUUUUCUGUCGUGACAGGAAUUGACGGUACCCUGGGAAUAAGCAUCGGCUAACUCCGUGCCAGCAGCCGCGGUAAUACGGAGGAUGCGAGCGUUAUCCGGAUUUAUUGGGUUUAAAGGGUGCGUAGGCGGAUAGAUAAGUCAGUGGUGAAAACCUGCAGCUUAACUGUAGACUUGCCGUUGAUACUGUCAGUCUUGAGUAUGGUCAAGGUAGGCGGAAUGUGUAAUGUAGCGGUGAAAUGCGUAGAUAUUACACAGAACACCGAUUGCGAAGGCAGCUUGCUGGGCCAUUACUGACGCUGAUGCACGAAAGCGUGGGGAUCGAACA
This 422-nucleotide ribosomal RNA is filed under the name uncultured prokaryote. Its description in RNAcentral is "bacterial SSU rRNA". It matches the Rfam family "Bacterial small subunit ribosomal RNA", at positions 355 to 774 of the family's 1533-position model. The record is from RNAcentral.